RNAcentral lists this unclassified non-coding RNA (19 nucleotides) under Mus musculus (house mouse). RNAcentral describes it as "oocyte_clustered_small_RNA8526". Lineage: Eukaryota; Metazoa; Chordata; Mammalia; Rodentia; Muridae. The record is from RNAcentral.
UACUAGGUAGGCAGGCAAG